Molecule: ribosomal RNA, 989 nt
Filed under: Carcelia reclinata
Lineage: Eukaryota; Metazoa; Arthropoda; Insecta; Diptera; Tachinidae
Description: eukaryotic LSU rRNA
Rfam family: Eukaryotic large subunit ribosomal RNA
Source: RNAcentral
CACUUUGUCUUUAUGGCAAAUGUGAGAUGCAGUGUAUGGAAUGUCAAAUUUCUAGUAUGAGAAAUUAACGAUUUAAGUCCUUCUUAAAUGAGGCCAUUUACCCAUAGAGGGUGCCAGGCCCGUAUAACGUUAAUGAUUACUAGAUGGCAUUUCCAAAGAGUCGUGUUGCUUGAUAGUGCAGCACUAAGUGGGUGGUAAACUCCAUCUAAAACUAAAUAUAACCAUGAGACCGAUAGUAAACAAGUACCGUGAGGGAAAGUUGAAAAGAACUCUGAAUAGAGAGUUAAAUAGUACGUGAAACUGCUUAGAGGUUAAGCCCGAUGAACCUGAAUAUCCAUUAUAGAAAAUUCAUCACUAUGAUUUUAAUAUUUACAAAUAUUAUAACAAAAGUGUGCAUUUUUUCUGUAGAGGACAUUGUAAUCUAUUGACAUAAACUAAAUUUAUCAUAAGAUCAAUUUGCGUAAGUUUAUUCAAAUUAUUUUGCUUGCAAUUUAACAUAGAAUAAAUGCUCUUGAUUUGAUAAAGUGUUGAUAGAUUUAUUAUAUAUAGUGCUUGAAUAUUUUUAUAUUCUAUAAUAGCAUAUAAAUUAUUAAUUUUUAUGUUUAUUAUAUGCACUUAUAUGAUUAACAAUGCGAAAGAUUCAGGAUACCUUCGGGACCCGUCUUGAAACACGGACCAAGGAGUCUAACAUAUUUGCAAGUUAUUGGGAAUAAAAACCUAAUAGCGUAAUUAACAUAACUUAAAAUUAAUUGGGAUUAGUUUUUAGCCUAUUUAUAGUCUAUUAAUUCAAUCCCGGGGCGUUCUAUACAGUUAUGUAUAAUAAUAUUUAUAUUAUUUAUACCUCUAACUAGAGCGUACCUUGAGCAUAUAUGCUGUGACCCGAAAGAUGGUGAACUAUACUUGAUCAGGUUGAAGUCAGGGGAAACCCUGAUGGAAGACCGAAACAGUUCUGACGUGCAAAUCGAUUGUCAGAAUUGAGCUAUAGGGGC